AUUGGUCAAUGGGCGAGAGCCUGAACCAGCCAAGUCGCGUGAAGGAUGAAGGAUCUACGGUUNGUAAACUUCUUUUAUAUGGGAANNCCNNNANGAACGUGUUCCUUUUUGUAUGUACCAUAUGAAUAAGNNNCNGNUAACUCCGUGCCAGCAGCCGCGGUAAUACGGAGGAUGCGAGCGUUAUCCGGAUUUAUUGGGUUUAAAGGGUGCGUAGGUGGUUAAUUAAGUCAGCGGUGAAAGUUUGUGGCUCAACCAUAAAAUUGCCGUUGAAACUGGUUGACUUGAGUAUAUUUGAGGUAGGCGGAAUGCGUGGUGUAGCGGUGAAAUGCAUAGAUAUCACGCAGAACUCCGAUUGCGAAGGCAGCUUACUAAACUAUAACUGACACUGAAGCACGAAAGCGUGGGGAUCAAACAGG
This 416-nucleotide ribosomal RNA is filed under the name uncultured bacterium. Its description in RNAcentral is "partial 16S ribosomal RNA". It matches the Rfam family "Bacterial small subunit ribosomal RNA", at positions 363 to 776 of the family's 1533-position model. The record is from RNAcentral.